UACAUAGGGUGCAAGCGUUGUCCGGAAUUAUUGGGCGUAAAGAGCUCGUAGGUCGUUUGUUACGUCGGAUGUGAAAACCUGAGGCUCAACCUCAGGCCUGCAUUCGAUACGGGCAAACUAGAGUUUGGUAGGGGAGACUGGAAUUCCUGGUGUAGCGGUGGAAUGCGCAGAUAUCAGGAGGAACACCAAUGGCGAAGGCAGGUCUCUGGGCCAAUACUGACACUGAGGAGCGAAAGCGUGGGGAGCAAACAGG
RNAcentral lists this ribosomal RNA (253 nucleotides) under uncultured bacterium. Its description in RNAcentral is "partial 16S ribosomal RNA". It matches the Rfam family "Bacterial small subunit ribosomal RNA", at positions 524 to 776 of the family's 1533-position model. The record is from RNAcentral.